Molecule: long non-coding RNA, 1295 nt
Filed under: Macaca fascicularis (crab-eating macaque)
Lineage: Eukaryota; Metazoa; Chordata; Mammalia; Primates; Cercopithecidae
Description: lncRNA (ENSMFAG00000047338.1)
Source: RNAcentral
AAGAGCCAUGGUAUAAAAAAAAGUACUCUGUCUUCCAAAUCUCAGGAGGACUUGUUCGCGGAUUGCUCUUUCUGUUUGUGGAGGUCCCGGCAGAGGUGAAUAGUCAUUGUUUUAUUUCCCAAACAUUAUGCAGCCUCUUUUUCGUUCUGCACAAUCAACUUUCAGAAGAUUUUAAAAGCCAGAACAUUUUUUUCUAACUGUUCUUCUUUUUCUCUUAAAAGAUUAGAUGUUUGUGGACGAAAAGGAAGCAAAAAAUAUGAGCAAAAAUUAUUAAUAAAAAGAGUAAAAUUAUUUUAAAACCUAAAACUAGAGAUAAAAAGUAAAUAAAAGAAAGUAAAAAUUCACUACAAGUAUUUAAAAGCAGACAUGAGCAGGUGGAACAACAAAAUAGCAAACCAAAGAAAGGGCAGUUGACAUUAUUAAGUUGUGAAAGGAAAGAAAAAAGAAGAAAGAAAUGAGAACACAGCCUGUGAUGCUGUGGGACACUAUCAAGCACCCAUACUUAUGCAUAUUGGAAGUUCAAAGGAUGAGACAAAGAAUCAGGAAGACUAUUUAGAAACAAUAGUGGUAAAGAAUGUCAAGAUCAAAAAACUCCUGUAAGAGAAAUUCAGAGAAACGAACUCAAAUUAUAUGAUAAUUAAACUCUCUAAAAGAAAGAGAAAAUCUUGAAGGCAGCAAGAGAUGUGACUAUUCAUAUUCAAAGAACCCUCAAAAAUAAUCACCAGAUUUCUAAUCUGAAAAUUCGGGAGACAGAAAACAAUAAACUAACAUAUUCCAAAUGAUGUUAAGAAAAAACUUUUGAACAGAAAUCAUAUGUUCAAAAAGUUGUCCAUCAUAAGUGAGGGAAAAAUUAUAAUAUUUUCAGAUAAAAGCAGGGACCUUUUACCAGUAGACUACCUCUUUUAAAAUGCCCUAUGGGGUGCUUCAUGGUAAAAUGAACAGACGUUAAACAGCAGUAUGAAUUAAUAUAUAUUACAGUAAAGAUAAAUACAUGAACAAUUAUAAAACAUUAAAAAAUUAACAAUGUGCACCUCCACAAUUUGUUUCCCAUAUAAUUUAAAACACUAAUAUGUUUUAGAAAAAUACUAUCACAAACUUGUGUUUUUGACAUACAAUGAAUAAAGGUCUGAUUUUGAGAACUCAAUAAGUGAAAUAAUGGGGGUGAAGUUACAGAGAAAUAAGGGAUUUGUAUGUUAUUGAAGGUAAACUAGCAUAACUUUAAAAGUGAAAUAACUUUAGUGUAUUCAAUGUAAUCAUAAUAUCAAUGACAAAAAAAAAAAAAAAAAAAGAAAAAA